GAAGCGCCGUCGCUCAACGGAUAAAAGGUACCCCGGGGAUAACAGGCUGAUCUUCCCCAAGAGUCCAUAUCGACGGGAUGGUUUGGCACCUCGAUGUCGGCUCGUCGCAUCCUGGGGCUGGAGUCGGUCCCAAGGGUUGGGCUGUUCGCCCAUUAAAGCGGUACGCGAGCUGGGUUUAGAACGUCGUGAGACAGUUCGGUCCCUAUCCGCUGUGCGCGUAGGAGUCUUGAGAAGGGCUGUCCCUAGUACGAGAGGACCGGGACGGACGAACCUCUGGUGUGCCAGUUGUUCUGCCAAGGGCAUGGCUGGUUGGCUACGUUCGGGAGGGAUAACCGCUGAAAGCAUCUAAGCGGGAAGCCUGCUUCGAGAUGAGGACUCCCACCCACUUGAUGGGGUAAGGCUCCCAGUAGACGACUGGGUUGAUAGGCCGGAUCUGGAAGCACCGUGAGGUGUGGAGGUGACCGGUACUAAUAGGCCGAGGGCUUGUCCUCAGUUG
RNAcentral lists this ribosomal RNA (496 nucleotides) under Streptomyces sp. SID10362. RNAcentral's name for it is "partial 23S ribosomal RNA". It matches the Rfam family "Bacterial large subunit ribosomal RNA", at positions 2436 to 2925 of the family's 2925-position model. Lineage: Bacteria; Bacillati; Actinomycetota; Actinomycetes; Kitasatosporales; Streptomycetaceae. The record is from RNAcentral.